This 505-nucleotide ribosomal RNA is filed under the name uncultured Cylindrosympodium. RNAcentral describes it as "eukaryotic LSU rRNA". The stretch from base 151 to 304 matches the Rfam family "5.8S ribosomal RNA". The record is from RNAcentral. Lineage: Eukaryota; Fungi; Ascomycota; Dothideomycetes; Venturiales; Venturiaceae.
AAGGAUCAUUAUUGGGAAACGAGCGUCGCGCUCACCCCCACCCUGUGCUUCGACCCGAAACGCGCUCGGCGCCGUGGCCCCCCUUGGGGGGUCCUGCCGGACUCCAACACUGAACAACGAUGUAGCCUGAAGUAAAAAGCAAACAGUUAAAACUUUCAACAACGGAUCUCUUGGUUCUGGCAACGAUGAAGAACGCAGCGAAAUGCGAUAAGUAAUGUGAAUUGCAGAAUUCAGUGAAUCAUCGAAUCUUUGAACGCACAUUGCGCCCCCUGGUAUUCCGGGGGGCACACCUGUCCGAGCGCCAUUUCAACCCUCAAGCUUCGCUUGGUGAUGGGGACCGCCCGAGGGCGGCCCCGAAACACGUGGGCGCCGACGGCCGGCCCUGAGCGUAGCAAAACCCUCGCUCGGGACCCCGGCCGGUGGUCGCCCCGACCCAAACUCACAAGGUUGGCCUCGGAUCAGGUGGGGAUACCCGCUGAACUUAAGCAUAUCAAUAAGCGGAGGA